Molecule: ribosomal RNA, 813 nt
Filed under: uncultured Sphingobacteriales bacterium
Lineage: Bacteria; Pseudomonadati; Bacteroidota; Sphingobacteriia; Sphingobacteriales
Description: bacterial SSU rRNA
Rfam family: Bacterial small subunit ribosomal RNA
Source: RNAcentral
AGUCGUGGGGCAGCAGGUCCCGCAGCAAUGCGGGAUGCUGGCGACCGGCAAACGGGUGCGGAACACGUACACAACCUUCCUUUAAGUGGGGAAUAGCCCAGGGAAACUUGGAUUAAUACCCCGUAAUAUAUAGAAGUGGCAUCGCUUUUAUAUUAUAGCAGCAAUGCGCUUGAAGAUGGGUGUGCGGCUGAUUAGAUAGUUGGCGGGGUAACGGCCCACCAAGUCGACGAUCAGUAACUGGUGUGAGAGCACGACCAGUCACACGGGCACUGAGACACGGGCCCGACUCCUACGGGAGGCAGCAGUAAGGAAUAUUGGUCAAUGGACGCAAGUCUGAACCAGCCAUGCCGCGUGGAGGAUGAAGGUCCUCUGGAUUGUAAACUUCUUUUAUUUGGGAAGAAACCCAUCUUUUCUUGGAUGGCUGACGGUACCAGAUGAAUAAGCACCGGCUAACUCCGUGCCAGCAGCCGCGGUAAUACGGAGGGUGCAAGCGUUAUCCGGAUUCACUGGGUUUAAAGGGUGCGUAGGUGGGCAAGUAAGUCAGUGGUGAAAUCUCCGGGCUUAACCCGGAAACUGCCAUUGAUACUAUUUGUCUUGAAUACUGUGGAGGUCAGCGGAAUAUGUCAUGUAGCGGUGAAAUGCUUAGAUAUGACAUAGAACACCAAUUGCGAAGGCAGCUGGCUACACAAAUAUUGACACUGAGGCACGAAAGCGUGGGGAUCAAACAGGAUUAGAUACCCUGGUAGUCCACGCCCUAAACUAUGGAUACUCGACAUACGCGAUAAACUGUGUGUGUCUGAGCGAAAGCAUUAA